GGUUGGACAAGUUUGUACUUGAUUCCAAGAAAUUUGUUUCCAGGGUGGGAAACU
Molecule: non-coding RNA, 54 nt
Organism: Clostridium beijerinckii NCIMB 8052
Lineage: Bacteria; Bacillati; Bacillota; Clostridia; Eubacteriales; Clostridiaceae
Source: Rfam